UGAUGUGGAAGAACUCAACUACAUACUCAGGGCUCUCGUUACCCUUGCCCUCCAAGGUGAAUCCAACUUCUCAAAAUGUUCUGUUGCCCUCUAUCCCUGGAUUCCCCACAAAAGCCAACUCAGGUGGAAGGAGUAGAAUAAAGAAGAGGUUGGGAUGGAGGGUGGCAAAUCACAUAGAUGGGCUACUUGCUAGAAUCCGUUGGUUUGGCUUACCUGGAAAGAGGCAGUUUUGAAGUCUUCAUAGUGGGAAGAGGAGAUCAGGGAGGAUCAUCAUUACUGGAUGGAUUUUAGAACCAAAAGACCUAGCAUUUUGCCUAGCAUCUAUUUGGAGGAAGUGACAACUUCCUCCACUUUAUUAAUGCUUUCCCUUUAACUUGUCUCUUUUUUUUUUUUUUUAAGAUUUACUUAUUUAUGGCUGUGGUGGGUCUUCGUUGCUAUGUACAGGCUUUCUCUAGUUGCAGUGAGCACAGGCUUCUCCUUGUGGUGUGUUCUUUUGUUGUGGCACAUGGGCUUAGUUGCUCCAUGACAUGUGGAAUCCGCCUAGACCAGGGAUCAAACCAGUGUCCUUUGCAUGCAAAAGGAUUCUUAACUCCAGACCACCAGGGAAGCCCCUCUUAUCUCCUUAAUCACUAGAGGGAAGGAUCAUAAGUCCCUAGAAUGUCUAGGGCCUAUUAGAGUUUACACCUAAUCUUUCAAAUUUUCAUUCUAUCAUCCUCCCCAAAACCCAUGUCUAGGUUGGCAAAGGAAGUGAAAGACAUAGCCUUCCCUCCUUUGCUUUCUACUUUAACCUGAAAUGGCCUCAUCUUUUAAUGCCAUCCAGUAAUGAGGUCACCAAGUGGUACUGGCUAGAACUUGAAGUUUUCCCCAUCUUCUGAGGAUUUUCUUAACACCCACCAUACUGGCUGUUUGGGAAUUAGGCAUCAGCAUGCAGAACUAUGAUCAGAGAACUAGAGUCUGCCUCCACUGUGUACCCGAGGAUCCAAGGGCAAAAUGCUAGGUCUUUUGGUUCUAAAAUCCAUUUUCUUUCCAUUGUAUCAAUGCCUCUUAUAUUAAUGCCAAAUAUACAUUCAUUUUUGUGCCAGGUGCUUCCCUCCCUCUGGUCUUUAGGGGAGAAUGGUGGGGGGCAAGGAAGAAAGAGGACAAAGACAGACUCUUCUGCCAGAAGGCCUCUGGAGGCCAACUGCGGUUUGCUGCGUCUGUAAGAACGGUGUAAGUGAUAUCCUUGGACGCUCUUGUGAGGAGGAAGUCUUCAUCUUCCUUUUCAUGUAUGUAUUGUUCUGCGUCACUUAUAGCUCUUGCCCGGCUGUGCCAGAAGAAGAAUUGUUGAGACUUGUCCCAUUCCAGCUCCCGCACAGGUACUGAAGCAGAACCAUGGCAGUGGGAUCCUGAGUCCUUCCAUUGUAACAAGCUCCCUAGGUGACUCAGUGGACGUUUUAAGUUUGACUCCUGAAACAGGAAAUCAAGAUAAAAGGUGCCCAGGACUAAGAGUCAGCCCCACGUAGUCCAGCUGGAGAAAGAAUCCCGUCAUUCAGCCAUGCAGGCUUUCCCAGGCUUGUGGAAUCAAGUCACUUUCUUGUGUGUGAUACAUCUGCUAUUCAUCUUCUUCCUCCCAUUCCCUUCUCUCUAGGCUUCGUGAGGAUAAACCUCUACUUUUUCUGACUAGAUGUGAAUAAAGCCUACUUUUAACGAGUCCCCUUUGUCAGGGAGUCUAUCA
Molecule: long non-coding RNA, 1714 nt
Organism: Bubalus bubalis (water buffalo)
Lineage: Eukaryota; Metazoa; Chordata; Mammalia; Artiodactyla; Bovidae
Exons: 3
Source: RefSeq, a predicted model, not a curated record